GACGCACAGUGCCCGCUUCGACUCGCCUCGCCAGCUGCGCGCCUCUGCCACGCGUCACAUCGCGGCCGGCAUGGCUCGCCGCCUGCGCCACGUCGGCGGCUGAUGUCGGCACGGGUUACGGCCCUGGCGGUGGAGAUGACGGAGACAUCGACGCGCGCCGUGAGACAGUCAGGGGGACGCGAUAGCUGCGAGAUGCGUGAGCCCGUGGCCACGCACCGCGGCGACUGCGGCUAGAGCCAUGCCACGCACAGACUCGGCUGCGUGGAGCCAUGUGGAGCAGCUCACCAGAACGGGGACUUCCCGCAGCUCGCAGGAGUUGGCCGGCCUCGCCAGCCAGUCCGUGGCCGCUGGGGCUGUGCGCGUGCG
Long non-coding RNA from Schistocerca cancellata (South American locust), 366 nucleotides. RefSeq lists it as uncharacterized. Lineage: Eukaryota; Metazoa; Arthropoda; Insecta; Orthoptera; Acrididae. The record is from RefSeq and is a predicted model, not a curated record. The transcript has 3 exons.